RNAcentral lists this ribosomal RNA (492 nucleotides) under uncultured bacterium. Its description in RNAcentral is "partial 16S ribosomal RNA". It matches the Rfam family "Bacterial small subunit ribosomal RNA", at positions 29 to 507 of the family's 1533-position model. The record is from RNAcentral.
AGUGAACGCUGGCGGUAGGCCUAACACAUGCAAGUCGAACGGCAGCACAGUAAGAGCUUGCUCUUACGGGUGGCGAGUGGCGGACGGGUGAGGAAUACAUCGGAAUCUACUUUUUCGCGGGGGAUAACGUAGGGAAACUUACGCUAAUACCGCAUACGACCUACGGGUGAAAGCAGGGGAUCUUCGGACCUUGCGCGAUUGAAUGAGCCGAUGUCGGAUUAGCUAGUUGGCGGGGUAAAGGCCCACCAAGGCGACGAUCCGUAGCUGGUCUGAGAGGAUGAUCAGCCACACUGGAACUGAGACACGGUCCAGACUCCUACGGGAGGCGGCAGUGGGGAAUAUUGGACAAUGGGCGCAAGCCUGAUCCAGCCAUACCGCGUGGGUGAAGAAGGCCUUCGGGUUGUAAAGCCCUUUUGUUGGGAAAGAAAAGCAGCAGGUUAAUACCCCGCUGUUCUGACGGUACCCAAAGAAUAAGCACCGGCUAACUUCGUG